AACGAACGCUGGCGGCAGGCCUAAUACAUGCAAGUCGAACGGGCGUAGCAAUACGUCAGUGGCGGACGGGUGAGUAACACGUGGGAACAUGCCUUUCGGUUCGGAAUAACGCAGGGAAACUUGCGCUAAUACCGGAUGACCCGGCGACGGAAAGAUUUAUCGCCGAAAGAUUGGCCCGCGUAGGAUUAGCUAGUUGGUGAGGUAACGGCCCACCAAGGCGACGAUCCUUAGCUGGUUUGAGAGAACGAUCAGCCACACUGGGACUGAGACACGGCCCAGACUCCUACGGGAGGCAGCAGUAGGGAAUCUUGGACAAUGGGGG
RNAcentral lists this ribosomal RNA (322 nucleotides) under uncultured bacterium. RNAcentral describes it as "bacterial SSU rRNA". It matches the Rfam family "Bacterial small subunit ribosomal RNA", at positions 29 to 377 of the family's 1533-position model. The record is from RNAcentral.